GAGGUUUGUUUGAAACAGACCGCAAUGGAGGGAAGCGAGGGAACAGCAGGCUCCUUCCAGCAGCACAUCGGGAUGUGAGCCUGGGGCACAGACGGGGCUCCGAGACCGGGAUUGAUUCGGGACAUUUACGUGAAGGAGCAAGACAAUGUAACAUUCUCUCGGUACAAAGCCAAGUGUGAUCAGCUCCUUCUAACAAACAGCAGGGUAUUCGAAGAAGAUGAUUUGAAAUGAGGAAACUUAAAACCAGGUAUCACUUCUCAAUCUGACAAGCUGCCGAGUUUAUUGUCGUAUGAAUAUCAUUGGGUUUUGCAGGAAAAAAGCACCGUUCACAGUGGGGGAGAAACCAUACGUGUGUUGUACAUGUGGACAAGUCUUCAGCAGAUCAUCUGCCCUGUCUGGGAAAGGAUUCACUCACCUUGCUGAAACCCCAGCAAGUUCACACAGAAAGCAGACCUUUGAAAUGCUCAGAAUGUGGGAGGUGCUUUAAAAACUCUGGGGCACUGAUAUCCCAACAACAUCCUCACUGUGACGAGAGACCCUUCAUGUGCUCUCACUGUGGGUGUGGGUUCAAGCUGUCGUCCAGCCUCAUUAAACACCAGUGGAUCCACACUGGGGAGAGACCAUUCACCUGCUCACACGACAGGAAAGGACUGUCUCAUAAAUCCAACCUGUUAAAACACCAGCGAUGUCUCAGAAGUUAGAGGCUGUACUGACUGUGGGAAGAGAUUCAUUGUGAAAUCCAAGCUGCUGAAACACCAAUGUGGGAUAUAAGUGAAGUAGUGUUACUUCUGCAAUUAUAAUUACUUAUACAAAGUAAAUGAACUCAUACUGGUGUGUAAUUGUUUCAGCCAAGAGCUGAGUCAACAAGAAUGAAACUAUGUGGAGGAAAUGCAUAAUUGUUUUUUUGUAUAAGCUAAAAAUGUAUGCAAGAAAGAAACAGGACUGCAAAACAAUGGUAGAAAUACAGGCGACUAGAUAAGGUGUUGUGAGGAGAAGCAGUUAAGCUAGAUACGCCUGUACAAAAAGUAGGUAUAAACAUCUGUUUUCCACUUUUACAGACACCCAGGAACUCACCCCAAUUAAAAGGGUCUUAACGAUAAGAUGAUGUGAGGGGAGGAACAGAUGGAGGGAGUAGAUAAUGGUAAGGAAAGGAUAUGCCUAACAAUGACCCACAGCAGGAUGAGGUCAAAUGGCCUUGUGAGGCCAGAAAUAAGCAUUUUGUCACAGACAAGGCCGGAUAAGGCAAGAGAUAUACAGGAGUAAUGCGUACUGGUCUUAGGGAAGUGGAGGAUGUAGCAGAAGUUUGACAAUGAAGUACACUUGCAGUUACUAAAAAUGACGUGUUUCAAUCUAGAUGACACUGAAGCACUGUGAAACACAUUACCUGACAAAAAGGAGCACAUUGAUAUCUAGUAUCAGAGAAUGAAUGAAUCCGAUUCUCACUCUCAGCUUUGUGCUGAUGAAAACACACCUUAUUCACACUCACAUUCUGGUUGAGGGCCUGAGUAAUGCAGAAGCAUUUCCAUGCAUGAACAAAAUAUGGAAUACUGAUUUAUAAAAUGUUGAACCCAUUAGCAAGUUUUGAGAAGAUUUGUAGCUCAGGUUGAGGUUCUGGGUGUAGAUUUGCUCACUGAGCUGGAAGGUACAUUUCCAGGUGUCUCAUCAGCCUACUAGGUAACAUCAUCAGUGGGCCUCCAGGCAAAGCACUGCUGCUGAUUCCUGCUUUCUGUUUAAAUGUUUGGGUUUCUUUAGGCUGGUGAUGUCAUUUCCUGUUCUUUUUCUCAGGGGGUGGUAGGUGGGGUCUAACUCAAUGUGUUUGUUGAUAGAGUUUCAAUUGGAAUGCCAUGCUUCUAGGAGUUUUCUUGUGUGGAUCUUCUUGGCUUGCCCCUGUCGAAGUGGUGUCCUUCCUUAUCUGUAUGUAUGGAUACUAGUGAGAGAGGGUAAUGUCGUUUUGUGGCUAUUUGAUGUUCAUGUAUCCUAGUUUUUUUGCCCGUUUGCCCAAUGUAGUGCUUAUUACAGUCCUUGCAUGGUAUUUUGUAAAUGAUAUUAGUUUUGCUUGUUGUGUGUAUAGGGUCUUUCAAGUUCAUUAGCUGCUGUUUUAGUGUGUUGGUGAGUUUGUGGGCAGGGGUCUGAGUAAUCUGGCAGUUAUUUCUGAGAUGUCUUUGAUGUAGGGGAGAGUGGCUAGGGUUUCUAGACGUGUUUUGUCUUCUUGUUUGGGUUUGUUGCUGAGAAAUUGGCAGUGCUUCAUCUGGAGGCCCACUGAAAAUGUUACCUGGUAGGGCAAUGAAACAUUUGGAAAUGAACCUUCCAGCUCAGUGAGCAAACCUACACCCAUGUUAAACCCAUCUCACAAAGUAUAUCCGAUCAUGACAUGCAGGACUGGAAAUAUAAGGAGACACACAGAAAAUGUCAGUGUGAUAUAGACCGGUAUCACUCUUCAGAAUGAUACACAUUGGUAGCACAACAGAAACCUCUCACAUAUUCAGCUAGUAAAUGGCAAAAGGAAAGAAAAACUGAAAUUUUGGCCCUACAAAAUGAUGAAGUGGAGAAUGUCAUUACAAUACAAAUGGGGAUGACAGUUUCCCUGCUGCCAUGAUUUUUUUUAUAUGGAAGUGGAAUGCUAGUUGAAAGGGAUGAGAGUUGUUAGCUCGGUCAACUAUUAUGAUGUUAUAAAGCGUUUUUGAUCAGUGCAGACUUAAUAAAUUGUAGAGACUUAUUCUGUGCUGGAGAUCUCUUUGACUUGAGAUUAGAUUAGAUUAGAUUAGAUUAGAUUAGACUUACAGUGUGGAAACAGGCCCUUCGGCCCAACAAGUCCACACUGACCCGCCGAAGCGCAACCCACCCAUACCCCUACAUUUACCCCUUACCUAACACUACGGGCAAUUUAGCUUGGCCAAUUCACCUGACCCGCACAUCUUUGUGACUGUGGGAGGAAACCGGAGCACCCGGAGGAAACCCACGCAGA
This is a long non-coding RNA of Hemiscyllium ocellatum (epaulette shark), 2965 nucleotides long. RefSeq lists it as uncharacterized. The transcript has 3 exons. The record is from RefSeq and is a predicted model, not a curated record. NCBI's taxonomy places the organism in Eukaryota, Metazoa, Chordata, Chondrichthyes, Orectolobiformes, Hemiscylliidae.